GACGAACGCUGGCGGCGUGCCUAAUACAUGCAAGUCGAGCGAGGGAGCACCUUCGGGUGUGAACUAGCGGCGGACGGGUGAGUAACACGUGGCAACCUGCCUUACAGAGGGGGAUAGCCUUCCGAAAGGAAGAUUAAUACCGCAUAUUAUGUAUUUUUCUGCAUGGAAAAGUCAUGAAAGGAGCAAUCCGCUGUAAGAUGGGCCCGCGGCGCAUUAGCUAGUUGGUGAGGUAAGGGCUCACCAAGGCCACGAUGCAUAGCCGACCUGAGAGGGUGAUCGGCCACACUGGGACUGAGACACGGCCCAG
RNAcentral lists this ribosomal RNA (307 nucleotides) under uncultured bacterium. RNAcentral's name for it is "bacterial SSU rRNA". It matches the Rfam family "Bacterial small subunit ribosomal RNA", at positions 28 to 334 of the family's 1533-position model. The record is from RNAcentral.